Empidonax traillii (willow flycatcher) is the source of this 337-nucleotide long non-coding RNA. RefSeq lists it as uncharacterized. The transcript is spliced from 3 exons. The record is from RefSeq and is a predicted model, not a curated record. Lineage: Eukaryota; Metazoa; Chordata; Aves; Passeriformes; Tyrannidae.
GCUCAGUGGUUCCCUGAGAACAAGCCACGCCACAGAGGGGAAACAAGACAGCUUCAUUUCCUCCCCCCCACCUUCCUGCUUCGUUGGAGCUGGGAAUCUGCUGUGCUGGAAGACUGUGAAAAUCCAGAGCAGAUACCACAACCAGGGUGGGCACCAUGGGUCGGCUGGAUGGGAAGAUCAUCCUGCUGUCUGCGGCAGCACAGGGCAUCGGGCGAGCAGCUGCCAUAGCCUUUGCUAAAGAAGGAGCCAAAGUCAUUGCUACAGAUAUCAAUGAGUCCAAGCUGAAAGAACUGGAGAAAUAUCCAGGUAAAUGCAGGCAUUAGUUCAGCUCUUCCAA